Molecule: RNA transcript, 4295 nt
Organism: Sphaeramia orbicularis (orbiculate cardinalfish)
Lineage: Eukaryota; Metazoa; Chordata; Actinopteri; Kurtiformes; Apogonidae
Gene name: pleckstrin homology domain-containing family O member 1-like
Exons: 7
Source: RefSeq, a predicted model, not a curated record
GGGACGACGAGCAGCGGCACCCCGAACACCAGCAGCUGAGGACGGUGGAGCUGAGGCGGAGGCUCCGGUCCUCCCGCCCGGACUUGAACUCAUCCGAAGCCGCUUUUCUCCUCCUCCUCCGCCGCUCUUUAUUGUGGGGACAUAACGGAGUUACCGUGAAAGUGGGAGAAGUACCGAGAGACGUCCGCCACCGGCAGCCUGACAGCCGCCAGCAUGAAGAAGAACAGCUCCGGGAAACGGGGUCCAGGUCAGGACUCAGCACCUCCGAACACUCAGCCUGAAAAGGUCGGCUGGAUCCGGAAGUUCUGCGGUAAAGGAAUCUUCCGUGAAAUCUGGAAGAACCGCUUUGCGGUGCUCAGGGGAGAACAGCUGUUCAUCUGUGAAAAGGAGGUGAAGGAGCUGGGUCGGGCAGACGAGGUGUUGGACCUGACGGACUAUGAACGAUGUGAAGAAAUCAGGAAGAACAAGAGCCGAAGCAAGAAGAACCACAGCAAGUUCAGACUACAGCGCUGCAGCUCACCAGGAAACACGGUUCCCAACUUGAUCUUCCUGGCUGUGAGUCCGGAGGAAAAAGAAUCCUGGAUCAAUGCCCUAAAUGCUGCCAUCACCAGAGCCAAGAACCGGAUCUUAGACGAGGUGACGGUUGUAGAUGCUCAGCUUUCUCAUCUGACACGAGAUCGAGUGAAGAUUCCUCACAACCGACGGCUGCCAACCAGAGGUCACCUGCUAGCUGUGGCGUCCACGUCAUCUUCAGAUGGCAUGUUAACUCUGGACCUGAUCCAGGAGGAGGAUGGUCCGUCUCAUAAUGGCGAUGGUUGCGAUAGCUUCAGGGUCGAGUUGGACAAAUCGCUCUCCCACCUCAACUCAGACUGUCCCAGAUCUAAAACUGAUGGUGCUCUCUCUGCGCGGACUACAGAGGCUUCUGGGAAAUCCCAAAGCCUUCCUCGUGACGUGACGCCAGUGGGCCCCGUACAAACAGGAAAGCGGCUGACCACGGCAGAGAAGAACCGCUGCGCCUCCAUGGACGAGAUCCUGACGCAUUCGGAGACAAAAACAAAGAGCCGGACAGAGACGGCGGUGGCGUCCAGAUCAUCUUCCUCCUCGCCAGCGGAGGCUCCUAUCGACCAGCUGCAGGAGCUCAUCAGUCAGAAGCUGCAGAAAACUGAGCGGCUGCUGACCGAAGUGAGAGCGGAGGCGGAUGGGGAAGCAGGGGAUCGUGGGAAGGGAAAGGGGAAGGAGUCAGUUGAGGGAGCUCGAGCCGAAGCUGAGAGACUCCUGAAGGAGGCGUCGGCGGCUUGGAGUCAGGCCAAAGAGGUGCUGGAGGAGGUGAAGGAGCUGAAAGCACUGUACAGCCAACUGGACUCCAACUCCUCACUGAGCCCCUCCAACAGCACCAAACAGAACCAGGACCGCAAGAGCCCCAUGUGACAACCGAACCGGCUCAAACUGGUCUGAAACUGAAAUGACAAAUCCAUGAAGCUGAAGACAGCAGCUGCUUUGAUUUCUGUCAGCUGGAAAAGUUCCUAAAAAUGGGAUCGAUGGCUUUUAAUUUAUUGAAGGAUUCAGAUUCUGAUUGGGGGCGUUUUCAGACCUGCUAUGGCAGGCUUUAUCAGUCCAAUCAGACUCCAGUUAGUUUCUCUACAUGUUUUGGUUCUUCCACAAGACUCACACUCCAGUUCAAAAAGACAACCAAACAAUCCAACAGGUUAUUUGUCAUAGAAUGUAAUUCAAGUCAAAUAUGACCGGAUGAACAAACCAGAUUCUUUAACCAGCUGAACAGGGAUGUGUAUUGUCAAAAACAGAUGCAUUUCUGUAAAAUAUUCAAGUGUAUUUGAAGCAAAUGUCUAAGAAAAGCAAAAGAAAGAGAAGAAAGAGAAAGAGAAAAUUCGAGUGGAGCAGUGUGACCAAACUGUAGACUUGAAAACACCCUUUGUUUCAGUAGUUAGAGGGAUCACAGCAAUCCUCAUAGGAGCAUCAGACCUCUGCACUGAACUCUUUGUCUAAAAGACGUGCAGCAGACAUUUAGGAAAUACCUGAAAUACAUGUCCAGAUACAAAAAAAAUGUCUGGAUUGGCAGUUUUUUUUUCAGUUUGUCAGCAAAGAUUAUAGUGAAUCGAGUUGAGGUACGUUUAAUUGUGUUUUUAGGAAUGAAAAUGUGCCAACAGGAGAGUCUGCAGGUGAAAGACACCUGAUUCUGUCUGUUAUUUAUGUCCACAUGUGGUACUUUGACUUUGCAGUGUCGAUUUAGCAAAACAAAUUCACAGAAGUAGUUUUAUAUACAACUUGUGAGCAGGCACAGAAAACUAACAUGGGUGCAGUUAACGGUACUAAUGCAGGUUGAACAUGAAGAGGUGACGGAGUUGUUAAACGUGAGCUCAGAUCAGGAUUAUGUUACCAUCUUUGUGUUUGCUGAGUUUCUUUUUGGGAAAUAAAUAUCAGUAAAUAUUCAGCACCUCAGAGCACUUUGGCAUCUGAUAAACCCCAGCACAGUUUAAGAACUUUAUCACUGCUAUUUUAAGACAUCCAAACUGGCAAAAAAAAAGCAUGUAGGAUAUGAAAGAAAAUCAGUUUUCCAAACCUAAACCCAUAUUAGAUUAAGGUAAUGUUAACAGUUAUUAUUGUGGGAGUAGCUUUUUUUGACCAUAACUGAUACCCCAUCCGGUAAAUUCUGACAGGCUGCACAACUUGCCCUGAUAAUUCGUACCAUGUUGGUUUGUAGUUUUAUUACAGCACAAUCAAUACUAAUUUUUACCAAAAGACACUCAAGUUAAUGCAGCGUCAUAAACAAAUCCAAUCUAGUAGGAGCUGAUCUGAAGACACUCUAGGUUCAUACAAAAAGCAUCAGGGUUUUGUCUUUUAUGUCUGAUGCGUUCAGAAUGAUCAGUAAGAGGUAAACCUGAAACACUUAAAACACAAACUCAGAAGGAGAUGGAUGUGAAAGUCACCAUUAACUUCCAAAAAUCUGAAUGUCCCCUGAGAUUAAACUUGAAUGUGAAAAAUAACUGAGACUGGCAAAUGGUGAAACCGAAUAAUAACACAUUUACAAGGGAAAAAAACUCAAAUAUCCAAGACAGAACUUUAUAUUCUCUGGGAUUAAAGUGGUAGAUUUACAAGAAGAUACUAAUCAAUGAGAAAAAAAUUGAUAUUAUAAAAUUAAAUUUGUAACUGUACAAUAAAUAAACAGUCAAACCUUUAUUCUGAGCAUCUUAUAUUUGCUCUGAAUCUGUUUACAUUUACUUUGGGUUAGGUUUCAUGUGUUCAGGUCUGUUAGUUUAGAUCCUGUUCUUUUUGCUUUAUUACAUUUUGCUGAUUUUCAUUUAAAGAGUCACAGACUGAUGUUUGGUGCAGGUACAAUGACAUGUUAUGAACGCUGUGAACAAAUAGCACCAGAUUUUAGUCUCCAGACUGUGCAGAUCCAGUAUCGACUGGAUCCACCUUGGACUCUUUUUUUUUUUUUUUUUUUUUUUCCUUCUUCUGUCCGAAUGUGAAUGUUUUUAACAAACCGGAGGCUACAGGAGGUGAAUGAACCAUCAGCCUCCAUCAGUCUCAGCUGGAAUAAAAUAAAACUCAACGACUCAGGUUCAAAAAACUGGACUGGUUCACUUUCAGUUUAAUCCCAAAAUCCUCAGAGAGCCUCAAACAUCGUAAAGUCCAGCAGCAGGAAGCGUCCAACCCCCAAUGGUCUGAGUGUUUGUCUAGUUAGCGUUAAUCUGUAGAACGUCUAAAAACCUUACAGUCAGAUCUGGAUUAGGGACAAAUCCACACCACUCCACCGGCUUCAGUCUGUCAGGAUGAUGACAAUUCACUGCACGUUGUGGGGCCAAAUAUGUCACGAAACAGGAAAAAAUGGCAUCAAUGUGAAGAUGAAUGUUCUGUCACCAGUAUUUCUGAAUAAAAUGUGUUGUAGAUGUCAUUAAAUUAAUAUUAUCUAUGGUUUUACUAGUGAUGAAAUGGAAGAUUCUUACUGGGGUUUUUUUUAUAUUAAGUUACAUGGUCUCCUUAAGAAGAGUAUCUAUUAUUUGGUACUAAUGAAAUACAAGAUUAGCUACAUUUCAUUUAUUUAAUUUAAUAAAUUAAUCUCUUUCUUUACAAAUAAUGUAAGAUCUCAAAACACCCUCAAGUUUCCUGUCAUUUCUGUUCAGUGUGAAUGAAUUGGCAUAUUGUGAUUAAUUCCCUAAUGUUGUAGCGUAAAGAACAAAACUUACACUGAAAAGAACUGGAAGUUGAUAUCUUAUUCAACUACAACACAAUUUCACAACAGAGCAAGUUUUCCACCAGUUUGAACUGAAAUCUGU